RNAcentral lists this ribosomal RNA (557 nucleotides) under uncultured fungus. Its description in RNAcentral is "eukaryotic LSU rRNA". The stretch from base 192 to 345 matches the Rfam family "5.8S ribosomal RNA". The record is from RNAcentral. Lineage: Eukaryota; Fungi.
AAGUCGUAACAAGGUCUCCGUUGGUGAACCAGCGGAGGGAUCAUUACCGAGUACUUAACUCAUAACCCUUUGUGAACCUUUAUAACCUGUUGCUUCGGCGGCGCGUGCCCCCCGGGGCCGCGCCCGCCGGUACCAUCAGAAUCUCUGUUUGAACCCGACGAUACAUCUGAGUGUUCUAAGCGAACUGUUAAAACUUUCAACAACGGAUCUCUUGGCUCCAGCAUCGAUGAAGAACGCAGCGAAACGCGAUAUGUAAUGUGAAUUGCAGAAUUCAGUGAAUCAUCGAAUCUUUGAACGCACAUGGCGCCUUCCAGUAUCCUGGGAGGCAUGCCUGUCCGAGCGUCGUUUCAACCCUCGAGCCCCCGUGGCCCGGCGUUGGGGAUCCGCCCAGGCGGUCCCCGAAAACCAGUGGCGGACCUUCCAGGCCCUUCUUUGCGUAGUAGCAUCAGCCUCGCAUCGGGAGCCGGCGGGAUUCCAGCCUCUAAACCCCCCCAAAAGUCCGCUCCGGCGGCACCAAGGUUGACCUCGGAUCAGGUAGGAAUACCCGCUGAACUUAA